CCUUUUUAUUGUAGGAUUCACACGUAUAAUGAAUUCACAUUUAUUUCAGCAAUUUAGCAAACAUCAGGGAAAUAAAAGGCAAUGUACACUUCAAUACACUCGAAUUGCUGUAAAGCACCAGACUUCCUGAAUGUUCCUCCACCCAUCAGAGAAGAAACUCCUGUUUCUCACCAGCACACACUCGUAGCUUCACUCCUCCCCCUGACUGACUGACAUUAACAUGUUAUUAAUAUGCAAACAGGUGGAAGCACGGAUACGUAGUUCUCUCUCACUACAGGGACAUACUGGAGUUUUUCUACAAUUGAAAGAUUUACAGAUGUUCAUAUGAUCUAUGUGUAGGCACGCCUGAAAGCUGACACGCUACAGAUUCUCACCAGCUUUUAGUCAUGCUCGUAUGUUAAAACCCCGUCAUGAUGUUACGUGAGAAAGAAGAUACAAGGGAGUCUGACCAUGGUGGAGCUCGCCGGCGAUUCUCACGUCCCCAGGGGGUUAACACACCUUCCAUAAAAAGCAGGUAGUGUGUUCUACAGCCAUGUUUCAUAUUUACUGUAAUAAACUCACAUUACAGUCCAAAUUUUCCAUGAACAUUGCAGGUAUUAAAGAGUUUGCUGUGCUAAUUUAAGUCAAUCUCCUCACCGUUUCUUUCAUUCGUAACAUUACUGUUCAACAGAGUGAACACUAGGUAAGAGCUAGUAAUGUCGCGCAUGCGUAGUAGACGGUAGGCGGUGCUGCCGCAGUACAACUCCAGGUGUGUACGCGGAUCAGGUAGCGACCGUCGACGCAGAUCUAUUCUACACUAAAACUCAUUUUCCGCUCCUUUACCUGGUACGGAAACGAAACUGCGUCAGAUUACGGUGACAGAAAGUGGAAUAGAGGUGGACAGUAAUCGUUUGGAGUCAGAUGGUGCCUCUGGAGAUGAUCAUCAUUGCACCCAACAUUCACAGGAUGAGUCUACAUUCUGCAAUCUGCAGGUGCCAGAUGAAACAUUUGCUGAUGACCAGUAUUGAAUACCGCAGUCACAAGUGGAAACAAGCACUCCUCAGAUAUUGAACCAGAACUGAAACCAUCGACAGAGCAAGCCCAGAAAACCUCAUCUGAGCAAGCAACAGAAUCAACCAGUACCACAUCUGUUCCCAAAGGUGUUAAGGUGGUAAAGAAAAAGAAAUGGGAGACCAGUGAAGUGAAAGCAGUUGAAAAACAUCUGUACAGGUUCAUGAAAACUUGCACAGUGCCAGGAAAAAAACAUUGUGAGUCCUGUAUUAAAGCUGAGCCUGUUGCACUGAAAGGCAGGGAUCGGUUGUCCGUUAAGUUCUUUGUAAAAAAUAGAAUCACUGCCCUUAAAAGGAAAAUGUAACCCAGAAAAAGUCUGCAUGGUUUCAUUUGGUUUUAUUUGCACAGAUCAUUGGUAGUUUUAGUUUAUUAUUAUUAUUAUUAUUAUUAUUAUUAUUAUUAUUAUUAAGUUUAUAAUUAUUAUUAUUAAGUUUAUGGCUUGAAUUUUGUAUUGUUUUACUUUUUUUUUUUACAUUUCAUUUAUGAGAAACUUUUUUUGAGUGUUAAUUAGUAACUACCUGAAAAUACUAUUUGUGUGAAAAUACUCUGUUCAAAAAUACUGCAAUGCAAAUGGCAAAAUGUUUCAGAUUAAAAU
Long non-coding RNA from Ictalurus punctatus (channel catfish), 1645 nucleotides. The record is from Ensembl. NCBI's taxonomy places the organism in Eukaryota, Metazoa, Chordata, Actinopteri, Siluriformes, Ictaluridae.